Molecule: long non-coding RNA, 763 nt
Organism: Oncorhynchus mykiss (rainbow trout)
Lineage: Eukaryota; Metazoa; Chordata; Actinopteri; Salmoniformes; Salmonidae
Source: RefSeq, a predicted model, not a curated record
UAAAGUAAACAGGCGCAGGCGUUACCCACACGUCAAAUAAGCUCGUCCAAAUAUGCUUGCAGGCUUUUCAACAUGUGCAAAAUAAACGUCUGCAAGCGGUCCUGCACACUUCAAGUUAACGCCAACAGCUGCUAAAUAUACACCUGCACACGCUAACUUAACGAGUUCCUUUAAUAUGCUAAUUUCCCUAGCUCCUCAUUUCAACCAGAUUUCAGUUUGAAGGAACUUCCUUUUCCACUGCAAGCAGAGUUUGAACCUUUACAAGGUAACGGUUUUGUCUUUGAAAUUUGUUGUUACUGAAUCGUAAAGUUUAUCAGCUAGUUUACAGUGGAAGGAUCUGUUUCUCAUCACUGGCAAUACAAUUCAGCUAACAUUAAUCUAGCACCAGGAUCAGCAGUACUUAGCAUCAGCUAAGUCAUAUUUUGCUAGCUAAUUUAGCUAACCGUAGCUUCGAACGGUCAUACUACUAGCAGCAGUGAAUGGCACCGUCAUGUGUUUUAUUAAAAGCCCUGCUGAAAAAAAACAUGUAAACUACAACAGCCACGGAAACACAUUGGACUGUGUUAAUACUAUCAAGAAGGGAACCAUGAAGAGGAUAUUGGAGUGGGCAAGGGGGGGGGGGGGCUGAUAAAGCACCAGAGAAGACCUGAUUCAUCAAGUAUCAAUUGGCAUGCAUGCACAAGACAAGGCAAAAUGUCUUCAGCCACCAUAGGAAGGAGAGCCGCUUCUUACCGUCUCCACUGCAGCCCAGUCGAUAACGAUA